This 253-nucleotide ribosomal RNA is filed under the name uncultured bacterium. RNAcentral's name for it is "partial 16S ribosomal RNA". It matches the Rfam family "Bacterial small subunit ribosomal RNA", at positions 524 to 776 of the family's 1533-position model. The record is from RNAcentral.
UACGGAGGGUGCAAGCGUUAAUCGGAAUUACUGGGCGUAAAGCGUGCGCAGGCGGUUUGUUAAGUCCGCUGUGAAAUCCCCGGGCUCAACCUGGGAACUGCAUUUGUGACUGCAUCGCUGGAGUGCGGCAGAGGGGGAUGGAAUUCCGCGUGUAGCAGUGAAAUGCGUAGAUAUGCGGAGGAACACCGAUGGCGAAGGCAAUCCCCUGGGCCUGCACUGACGCUCAUGCACGAAAGCGUGGGGAGCAAACAGG